RNAcentral lists this unclassified non-coding RNA (336 nucleotides) under soil metagenome. RNAcentral's name for it is "partial contains 5.8S ribosomal RNA, internal transcribed spacer 2, and large subunit ribosomal RNA". The stretch from base 1 to 120 matches the Rfam family "5.8S ribosomal RNA", at positions 35 to 154 of the family's 154-position model. The record is from RNAcentral.
GAUGAAGAACGCAGCGAAAUGCGAUAAGUAAUGUGAAUUGCAGAAUUCAGUGAAUCAUCGAAUCUUUGAACGCACAUUGCGCCCGCCAGUAUUCUGGCGGGCAUGCCUGUUCGAGCGUCAUUUCAACCAUCAAGCCCCAGGCUUGUGUUGGGGACCUGCGGCUGCCGCAGGCCCUGAAAACCAGUGGCGGGCUCGCUGUCACACCGGGCGUAGUAGAUUUUAUCUCGCUCAGGGCGUGCUGCGGGUCCCGGCCGUUAAAAGCCUUUUUUUACCCAAGGUUGACCUCGGAUCAGGUAGGAAGACCCGCUGAACUUAGGCAUAUCAAUAAGCGGAGGA